UAAACAACUAAAUAAUUUAUAUUAUUUAUAAUCAUGAUCAUUCAUAAUUGAGCACUAUAAUGAGCAUCAAACACAAAGUAGAAAAAGUAAAAAUAAAUACUAUUCAGAACAAGGUUGUGUCUCUUCUUCAUCGAGAAGAUUAAGAUGGCACAAAUCUCUCUGAAGGCCUGACCUAUCAAUAAAUAUGUUUUUAUCGUUUCGCGUUAUCUUUUAUAAGAAGCUGUCACUAAAUAGUCUAAUGUUAUUCAAUGUUGCUAAUCAACUUUCCUGAAUCUUUCCUUUUUUAUAUCGGUCACCUUCUCCAUUCAUCACCUCAUCUUUAGGAAUUCCACCUAUUUCUUUACAAAAAUAAAAAUAGUAAUAAAAUAGAAAGACAAUAAAUAUUAUUAAAAUUAAAUAAAGCGUAAAAGUAAGAUGAAUUUAAUACCUUUUAAUUAAGAUUAUAUCCAAUUCUAGUAUACAUUAAAGCCUCUAAUUUACUUGCAUGAAGUAUACUACAAUGUGGGCUUAAAAAUCAACCGUCCCCACUAAAAGUCGACUGCAUGUGUUAGCUUGACAUCAAAGCAUGCACUCAGAAUUAUUGACCAAAGUCAUGUUUACGAAAUAUUUCAAAGCUAAUAUUCAUCAAAUUGUGCGCUAACAAAUAAAAGCAAUUGAAUCAAUAACCAUUUUUACCCACUAAAUAUUAAUUUAUACGAAAUGGCUAGUGUUUGGAAUGAAUUUUUUAGCACAUAAAAUUUAUUUAGUCUCUAAAUUUCAAAAUGAAUUUCUAUACGCGAAUUACACUAAACCACCCAUAAAUUAACAUGUGACCACCGAAUUACCAAUAAAUGUCAAAUGGGUUCAUUUAGUUCAGGGGAAAAAAAAAGACAACUUCAACAUUUCACACAACAUUUGGACCAUCAAUUGAUAUUAAAACACAUACAUAAAGUAAAAGCUAUCACAUGUAUGCAAUAAGAGAUAAAAAGAAAGAUACCUUAAAUAAGAAGAAGAAGAAGCUGCAAUGCUAAAGAGGAGAGAGCAGGGUCGUAAAUACACUAAUAUCAAUAGCGGAACAAGCAACGAUUGACAAUAUCAAUGGUCGACAAGUGACGACCGACAGACAAAUAUCAAUGAGCCGUGAGCGAGGAUCAACUGGUAUGUGUGAAGAGAGAUAAUCUAGGGUUUGUUAAACUGAAAAUAUGAAAGGAAAAAUGACAUUGGGGUAAAC
Molecule: long non-coding RNA, 1210 nt
Filed under: Citrus sinensis (sweet orange)
Lineage: Eukaryota; Viridiplantae; Streptophyta; Magnoliopsida; Sapindales; Rutaceae
Description: long non-coding RNA (CSIN_LNC004681)
Source: RNAcentral